Molecule: unclassified non-coding RNA, 306 nt
Filed under: plant metagenome
Description: partial contains 5.8S ribosomal RNA, internal transcribed spacer 2, and large subunit ribosomal RNA
Rfam family: 5.8S ribosomal RNA (bases 1-105)
Source: RNAcentral
GAAAUGCGUUAAGUAGUGUGAAUUGCAGAAUUCAGUGAAUCAUCGAAUCUUUGAACGCACAUUUCGCCCCUUGGUAUUCCAUGGGGCAUGCCUGUUCGAGCGUCAUCUACACCCUCAAGCUCUGCUUGGUGUUGGGCGUCUUUGUCCCGCCUCCGCGCGCGGACUCGCCCCAAAUUCAUUGGCAGCGGUCCUUGCCUCCUCUCGCGCAGCACAUUGCGCUUCUCGAGGUGUUGCGGCCCGCGUCCAGAAAGCAAUCGUUACCGUCUUUGACCUCGGAUCAGGUAGGGAUACCCGCUGAACUUAAGC